CUCCACGAAGUUGGAUUCGCUAGUAAUCGCGCAUCAGCCAUGGCGCGGUGAAUACGUUCCCGGGCCUUGUACACACCGCCCGUCAAGCCAUGGGAGCCGGGGGCGCCUGAAGUCCGGGACCGCGAGGACCGGCCUAGGGCGAAACUGGUGACUGGGGCUAAGUCGUAACAAGGUACC
Molecule: ribosomal RNA, 177 nt
Filed under: uncultured bacterium
Lineage: Bacteria
Description: partial 16S ribosomal RNA
Rfam family: Bacterial small subunit ribosomal RNA
Source: RNAcentral